Long non-coding RNA from Branchiostoma belcheri (Belcher's lancelet), 300 nucleotides. RefSeq lists it as uncharacterized. NCBI's taxonomy places the organism in Eukaryota, Metazoa, Chordata, Leptocardii, Amphioxiformes, Branchiostomatidae. The record is from RefSeq and is a predicted model, not a curated record. The transcript is spliced from 3 exons.
CCCCUGUGACCACGGCAGCUGCGCAGAUGGAGUAAACAGCUACACCUGCACCUGCCAGCCUGGAUGGACAGGACAUGACUGUCACAUAGAUAUUGACGACUGUGCGUCUAACCCCUGUGAUCACGGAAGCUGUGCUGACAGUCUGAACCUUUACUCCUGCACAUGUCAGCCUGGAUGGACGGGCGAAAACUGCCACAUAGAUAUCGAUGACUGCACGCCAGACCCCUGUGACCACGGCACCUGCGCAGAUGGAGUAAACAGCUACACCUGCACCUGUCAGCCUGGAUGGACAGGAAAAGA